GCUAACUCCGUGCCAGCAGCCGCGGUAAUACGGAGGGUCCAAGCGUUAUCCGGAAUCAUUGGGUUUAAAGGGUCCGCAGGCGGGCUAUUAAGUCAGUGGUGAAAUCUCUUGGCUUAACCAAGAAAUUGCCAUUGAAACUACUAGUCUUGAAUUCGGUCGAAGUGGGCGGAAUGUGUCAUGUAGCGGUGAAAUGCAUAGAUAUGACACAGAACACCGAUAGCGAAGGCAGCUCACUAGGCCUGAAUUGACGCUCAGGGACGAAAGCGUGGGGAGCGAACAGGAUUAGAUACCCUUGUAGUC
This 300-nucleotide ribosomal RNA is filed under the name uncultured Brumimicrobium sp. RNAcentral's name for it is "bacterial SSU rRNA". It matches the Rfam family "Bacterial small subunit ribosomal RNA", at positions 496 to 795 of the family's 1533-position model. The record is from RNAcentral. Lineage: Bacteria; Pseudomonadati; Bacteroidota; Flavobacteriia; Flavobacteriales; Crocinitomicaceae.